RNAcentral lists this ribosomal RNA (250 nucleotides) under uncultured Enterobacteriaceae bacterium. Its description in RNAcentral is "partial 16S ribosomal RNA". It matches the Rfam family "Bacterial small subunit ribosomal RNA", at positions 524 to 773 of the family's 1533-position model. Lineage: Bacteria; Pseudomonadati; Pseudomonadota; Gammaproteobacteria; Enterobacterales; Enterobacteriaceae. The record is from RNAcentral.
UACGGAGGGUGCAAGCGUUAAUCGGAAUUACUGGGCGUAAAGCGCACGCAGGCGGUCUGUCAAGUCGGAUGUGAAAUCCCCGGGCUCAACCUGGGAACUGCAUUCGAAACUGGCAGGCUUGAGUGCAGGAGAGGAGGGUGGAAUUCCUGGUGUAGCGGUGAAAUGCGUAGAUAUCAGGAGGAACACCGGUGGCGAAGGCGACCUUCUGGCCUAAUACUGACGCUGAGGUACGAAAGCAUGGGGAGCAAAC